AUGAACGCUGGCGGCGUGCCUAAUACAUGCAAGUCGAGCGAACAGACGAGGAGCUUGCUCCUCUGACGUUAGCGGCGGACGGGUGAGUAACACGUGGAUAACCUACCUAUAAGACUGGGAUAACUUCGGGAAACCGGAGCUAAUACCGGAUAAUAUAUUGAACCGCAUGGUUCAAUAGUGAAAGACGGUUUUGCUGUCACUUAUAGAUGGAUCCGCGCCGCAUUAGCUAGUUGGUAAGGUAACGGCUUACCAAGGCGACGAUGCGUAGCCGACCUGAGAGGGUGAUCGGCCACACUGGAACUGAGACACGGUCCAGACUCCUACGGGAGGCAGCAGUAGGGAAUCUUCCGCAAUGGGCGAAAGCUUGACGGAGCAACGCCGCGUGAGUGAUGAAGGUCUUCGGAUCGUAAAACUCUGUUAUUAGGGAAGAGCAAAUGUGUAAGUAACUAUGCACGUCUUGACGGUACCUAAUCAGAAAGCCACGGCUAACUACGUG
This 496-nucleotide ribosomal RNA is filed under the name uncultured bacterium. Its description in RNAcentral is "partial 16S ribosomal RNA". It matches the Rfam family "Bacterial small subunit ribosomal RNA", at positions 29 to 507 of the family's 1533-position model. The record is from RNAcentral.